GUAAUGCCGGAUGCUCCAUCACACCGCAUGGUGUGUUGGGAAAGCCUUUGCGGCAUGGGAUGGGGUCGCGUCCUAUCAGCUUGAUGGCGGGGUAACGGCCCACCAUGGCUUCGACGGGUAGCCGGCCUGAGAGGGCGACCGGCCACAUUGGGACUGAGAUACGGCCCAGACUCCUACGGGAGGCAGCAGUGGGGAAUAUUGCACAAUGGGCGCAAGCCUGAUGCAGCGACGCCGCGUGAGGGAUGGAGGCCUUCGGGUUGUAAACCUCUUUUGUUAGGGAGCAAGGCAUUUUGUGUUGAGUGUACCUUUCGAAUAAGCACCGGCUAACUACGUGCCAGCAGCCGCGGUAAUACGUAGGGUGCAAGCGUUAUCCGGAAUUAUUGGGCGUAAAGGGCUCGUAGGCGGUUCGUCGCGUCCGGUGUGAAAGUCCAUCGCUUAACGGUGGAUCCGCGCCGGGUACGGGCGGGCUUGAGUGCGGUAGGGGAGACUGGAAUUCCCGGUGUAACGGUGGAAUGUGUAGAUAUCGGAAAAGAAC
RNAcentral lists this ribosomal RNA (535 nucleotides) under Bifidobacterium breve. RNAcentral's name for it is "bacterial SSU rRNA". It matches the Rfam family "Bacterial small subunit ribosomal RNA", at positions 163 to 707 of the family's 1533-position model. The record is from RNAcentral. Lineage: Bacteria; Bacillati; Actinomycetota; Actinomycetes; Bifidobacteriales; Bifidobacteriaceae.